Long non-coding RNA from Beta vulgaris subsp. vulgaris (sugar beet), 1020 nucleotides. RefSeq lists it as uncharacterized. The transcript has 4 exons. NCBI's taxonomy places the organism in Eukaryota, Viridiplantae, Streptophyta, Magnoliopsida, Caryophyllales, Amaranthaceae. The record is from RefSeq and is a predicted model, not a curated record.
ACACAUAUUUAAGCAUAUUUGGUUCAGUAUUUGUUUCUUACUUAAACGUAAAAUUUAGAUCAAUUUUUUUUUGUAAUUUCCAAAAUAUUAGCGCUAAUCAUAUGCUUAUGGCGGUAGAAGGAAUUUUGGCAUUCUAAACCUACUUUGGUUGAGGCUGAGUUAUUCCUCACACAUUUAUCUAACUCUAUUCUUCUUACCUUCAAAAACCACCACUGUAAUUCAUGCAUGAAAUUUGACGAUCGGCUUCUCCCUCACACCGUCGUUGACAUCUGUUCCAAAGAGAAUAGAAGACGAAGAACCCAUCCUUACGGAGUUACGCUUUGCAUUCAAUUACUCUAGAUUCUACGCGUUUGACCUCGUCAUCAGUCUAACGCAAUUCACCGGUCCUUCAUCUUGUAGAAUUGCGCGUUUGAACUGAUGUACUUGGCAAAGAUACGCAUGGGUAUUUACGAGCUUAUGGACCAGGAAAAAGCAUUACAAAGCAUUUUCAAGUCAAGCCUUCUCGAAUUGAUCUACAUCAAGAGGUGGUUGAAGCUAAAAAGAUAGCUGAACAAGCAGUUCAAGAAGCAAGAAAUGACGCUGAGAAUGCUAGAAAAGAGGCCAAGGAUGCUAGAAAGGAAGCUGAAGAAACUAGGAAAGAUGCUGAGUUUGCCAAGAAUGAAGCCGAAAAAACCAGGAAUGAGGUAGAUCGAAAAAUUGCUGCAAACAAUAAGGUUUGGGAGAACAAGUUCAAGCGUAUACUACAAAGUUUUGGGAUAGAUAUGUUUCACGAUAAUGAUUCCUCGAGUGAUGGUUCUUCGACUUAAAAUUGGAGAAAGAGGGUACAUAUUAUCAAGCACAAGACACAUUCUUAGUUACAAUUAAAGUACUAUGUAGUUUAUAAUUUUUCUAUGUAAAAAGAAUGGAGAAUAUUGUGUUUUUAUUUAGUUGCCAUGGAACUUUUUAUUUCAAGUACAUUUUAAUGUAAAGAUAUUAGAAAUUUUAUAUUAAUAAUAAUAUUUCGUUAUUCCAUAUUAAAAA